This is a long non-coding RNA of Xiphophorus hellerii (green swordtail), 365 nucleotides long. RefSeq lists it as uncharacterized. NCBI's taxonomy places the organism in Eukaryota, Metazoa, Chordata, Actinopteri, Cyprinodontiformes, Poeciliidae. The record is from RefSeq and is a predicted model, not a curated record. The transcript is spliced from 3 exons.
UGAAGAGCCGCUGUUUAAUCGGUUGCUGUUAGAAUAAUUAUCUAAGUUCAUUUACUUGUGAGUUUAUUUGAAAGGUUAUGUUUUCAUAUUAUUAUUUUGCUUAAUGUUACUUGACUUCUUCUCUUCUGUGAAACACUAUUAACCAUUUGUAGGAUGUUUGCCUGGAGGCUAGAGACCACACAUUCCUGUGUUAUCUGCUCCAUAUGUAAUUGAUUAGUUGUGGUCAGCCAUGCCCUUUUAAGGGCAUGCCCACAGACGGUUCCAAGAGCACCCUGUAGAAAAAGGUCAUUGGUCAAAUUCUUUGUGUGACUAUGUGAGAAGGCCCAACCUCCUUCCUUGUAUUUUCUAAUAAAACCAAAUGCAGA